UGUUAUUAAUGUUUUAUAAUACUGUUUGUUGAAGGAAAUCCUGACUCGCUCUUCACCUUCGUUCGCUAUUUAAAAGUGUUUAUGUAACAAAACUUACAUGGAUAAAAGAUUGAUGUAACAGUAAGGUAUGCGAAAUGUAAAGAACUAAAGCAAGCAUGAUAUUUUUUACACGGUCGUCAUAUAUGAAGUCUUACUGCUAAAACGAAGGUUUGUGAAAUGUAAAGAACUAAAAGAAGCAUAA
Molecule: long non-coding RNA, 241 nt
Organism: Xenia sp. Carnegie-2017
Lineage: Eukaryota; Metazoa; Cnidaria; Anthozoa; Malacalcyonacea; Xeniidae
Exons: 3
Source: RefSeq, a predicted model, not a curated record